AUCAGCACCCUGUCAAAACGGACCAAUCAACUCUCUGUAAAACAGACCAAUCAGCUCUCUGUAAAAUGGACCAAUCAGCAGGAUGUGGGUGGGUCCAGAUAAGGGAAUAAAAGCAGGCUGCCGGAGCCGGGAGUGGCAAUCCCCUAAUGUUCCCUUCCACCUUGUGGAAGUUUUGUUCUUUCGCUCUUUGCAAUAAAUCCCAUUGUUGCUCGCUCUUUGGGGUCUCACUGUCUGUGCGAGCUGUAAUACUCGCCGCAAAGGUGUCUGGCUUCACUUCCGAGACCAGCGAGACCCCGAACCCACCGGGAGGAAUGAACAACUCCGGAUGGGAGGGACAAACAACACCAGACGCACCGCCUUAAGAGUCCUAACGCUCACCGCGGAGGUCUGCGGCUUCACUCUUGAAUGAAGCCAGCGAGAUCACAAACCCACCAGAAGGAAGGAACUCUGAACACAUCCGAAAAUCAGAAGGAACAAACUCCGGACACACUACCUUUAAGAACUGUAACACUCAAAUCGCGAGGGUCCACGGCUUCGUUCUUGAAGUCAGUGAGACCAAGAACCCACAAAUUCCGGACACUUCCCCACACAGAGGGAACUGGCCUAACACUCUGAAUCUACAUCAAGGAACUCAAGCGCUCUUGUUGUCUUCCUGGGCAGGUGGUGCCAAUAGGAUGUACUGACAGAUCAGAAGUGGUCGUGAGAGAAGGAGCAAGUAGCCAGAAGAGUGAAGUGUGCACUGGCUGAGAUGUGGGAGCAGGUGUUGUUGGUUUCCCCGGAGAUGCAGCAAGAAGGCCCUCGCCAGAUAUCAAGGCCUUAAGCUUGGACUUCCCAGCCUCCAGAACUGUCUUAUGUAUCAACAAAAUCACACCAGACCACCCAAAGCUGGCCCUGCCAACUGACCACACACACCCCUGCCUGAAAGGCAUGUUUCAAUGUGCAACAGACGCCUGCCACUCAGGGGACAUCAAAUGUUCAUGAGAACUCGCUAACCUCGAAACAGGUGACUGUCAAGACUGGCUGAGGAUUGAAACUCUGGGGAAAUUUGCUAGAAUAUGUGUGGAUUGCUGGGCCAGCUUCCCGAUGGGCUGAUCUUUAGGUGCCGGGCUGGGGAUGCGCAUUCUCAGCACUGCUGCUGGGUGGUUCUGUGAAGUAGACCCUUGGUAACCACUGCAUUAGACCACCUAGGUCUCUGCCACUUCCACACUGUGGACACUUCGAUGGAUCAUUCUUUGUGGUGGGCACUGUCCAGUGCAUUGCUGGAUAUUCAGCAGCAUUCCUGAACUCUUCUUGCCAGAUACCAGUAGCACCCUUCCUGUCCCCUCCCAUGUCACCAUAUGACAACCCAAAAGAUCUCCAGACGUUGCCACAUGUUCCCAGGCAGCAAACUCCCUUCCAUGGUAACUACUGUCCUAGGCUGUUUACAAGGUUAUUAGUGAUGGUGACAGCCAUAAUGAGGAACCAGGCUCUGUGCCGAGCACUCACUGCAUCUCAUUCUGUGUAAUCCUCAUGGUCAUAUUCUUAGGCAAUCUUUUCAUCAUUGUUUAUAAAACUCAGAGAAUUUAAACAGCUUUCCCAAGGUCAUGGGUAAUCAGUGGCCACAGCUUGAUGCCUACCUCUGUUUGACUCCAAAGUGGACUCAGGGGUCAGAUAGAUCCAGAGGGUGACAGAAACCUCAUCCUGGAGACUGGGGGUUCUUCCAAGGCUUGUUCUUGUCACUUUUUUUUUUUUUUUUUUUGAGAUGGAGUCUUGCUCUGUUGCCCAGGCUGGAGUGCAGUGGCGCGAUCUCAGCUCACUGCAAGCUCCGCCUCCCAGGUUCACGCCUCCCAGGUUCACGCCUCCCGAGUAGCUGGGACUACAGGUGCCUGCCACCAUACCUGGCUAAUUUUUUGUAUUUUCAGUAGGGACGGGUUUUCGCCAUGUUGGCCAGGAUAGUCUCGAUCUCCUGAACUCGUGAUCCGCCCUCCUCCGCCUCCCAAAGUGCUGGGAUUACAGGCGUGAGCCACCGCACCGGGCCUCUUGUCACUAUUUAACAAAGCAUAAUGGCUCCUCUCUGCCUACUCUACCAGAUCCAUGCUCUUUAGCCUGCCAGGCCAGGCUGUCCCUACCUCACAUCCCCUGAUCAGCUACAUUAUAAUCUAAGGCCUAUCUCCUCUUUAACCCUGAACGUACCUUGCUCAUUUUCACUGUAGGGCUGUUUCUUUCAUUCAGGGGUCUCAAACUCAAAUGUCUAUAGGGGCCUAGAGGGUAAAUUAACAAACAAAGUGGGCUCAGUGCAAGAUGAUAAAUGGCAAUGGAUCUUUCAGCCUCAUUUGGAGAGACCUUGGGAAUGGUGAGGACUGUGACCUCAGUGGAGCACCUACUUUACUGAGACAGGGCAGCUGCUUCUCCAUCUUGCCCUGUGCUAGUCUUGCUGGAUAUUUUAUUUUUCAAGAAAUAAAAUAUGGAAUGUGGAAUAAUAUGUGUGACUUAUCAAUUUUUAAAUUUUGGUAGGUUCUACAAAUUCAAAAAAACCACCCGUGGCCUGGCUCUGGGCUGAAGCUGAGUCCUGGCUUGAAAUCCCCUGCCUUAAUCUCUCUUCGAAGACUUUUCUGCAUUCAUCUGAGUCCUCAUCCUCCAAGGCAGGGCUCAGGCUUGGGCUCAGGCUCCCAGCCAUGUAUCCCUCCUGGACCAUUCCUGACUCCUUUCCAGUAUCCUUAUCACUUGUACCACAUACGUUGGCCUUUGAUCCUGUGUACUGUUGGAUUUGUCUUUACUUCACAGGUUCAUCUUGUCUCCCCAAGAACAAUGAGAGUUGCCUCAAGGGGUAGAACCAUGCUUUUUGUUUUCUUUUGAAUUCAUUACAGCACAGCCAAAAGCUCAACACACAAAACACACUCAGUAAAUAUCUGUUGAACAGAAUAAAAGCCAUUCCGCAUAACCAACCCUGAUCUCUUUUGCUGGACUGUAAACCAACCUACCUAUUGUUAGUCCUUCACAGAUUAUAUGGUGGAUCUGAACACAUCAGGUAGAACCUUUGAUAAACUUAAAGUCCUUCAUUGAAUCACUCUGUAGCCACUGUUUUCUCUAGGACAAAAGCUUUAAAUAUUUUGAGAAAAUUGUACAAGACCAUCCAUCCUGAUUCUCAUGGCUUUGGUUGUUCAGAAAGGAAAUCUUUGUACACACACCAUUUCACUGCCUCCUUUUCAGUUUCCCAAUUUGGAAAAAGGAAAAAUGUGAACUAUCCCCCUCUUCGCGUUCUUUUCUAACUGAAGUGAUAGAUUUCAGAGUCGUAUAAAGCUAAGAUUAUCGUUUAUCAUAUCUCAG
RNAcentral lists this long non-coding RNA (3306 nucleotides) under Homo sapiens (human). RNAcentral describes it as "HSALNT0001998". Lineage: Eukaryota; Metazoa; Chordata; Mammalia; Primates; Hominidae. The record is from RNAcentral.